GAACCGGGAUGAGCUCAAAUUUAAAAUCUGGCGUCUUUCAGGCGUCCGAGUUGUAAUCUAUAGAGGCGUUUUCCGCGCCGGACCGCGUCCAAGUCUCUUGGAAUAGAGUAUCAAAGAGGGUGACAAUCCCGUACUUGACGCGACAACCGGUGCUCUGUGAUACGUUCUCAAUGAGUCGAGUUGUUUGGGAAUGCAGCUCUAAAUGGGUGGUAAAUUCCAUCUAAGGCUAAAUAUUGGCGAGAGACCGAUAGCGAACAAGUACCGUGAGGGAAAGAUGAAAAGCACUUUGGAAAGAGAGUUAAACAGCACGUGAAAUUGUUAAAAGGGAAACGAUUGAAGUCAGUCGUGUGAAAGGUAUUCAGCCGUCUCUGGCGGUGUAUUUGCCUUUCACGGGUCAACAUCAGUUUGAUCCGGUAGAAAAAGGCGGGAGGAAGGUGGCACCCUCGGGUGUGUUAUAGCCUCCUGUCAUAUGUGCCGGACCAGACUGAGGAACGCAGCUUGCCGCAAGGCCGGGGUUCGCCCACGUACAAGCUUAGGAUGUUGACAUAAUGGCUUUAAACGACCCGUCUUGAA
This 573-nucleotide ribosomal RNA is filed under the name Vishniacozyma victoriae. RNAcentral describes it as "partial large subunit ribosomal RNA". It matches the Rfam family "Eukaryotic large subunit ribosomal RNA", at positions 95 to 658 of the family's 3401-position model. Lineage: Eukaryota; Fungi; Basidiomycota; Tremellomycetes; Tremellales; Bulleribasidiaceae. The record is from RNAcentral.